RNAcentral lists this ribosomal RNA (460 nucleotides) under uncultured bacterium. RNAcentral describes it as "partial 16S ribosomal RNA". It matches the Rfam family "Bacterial small subunit ribosomal RNA", at positions 338 to 795 of the family's 1533-position model. The record is from RNAcentral.
CCUACGGGUGGCAGCAGUGAGGAAUAUUGGUCAAUGGGCGAGAGCCUGAACCAGCCAAGUCGCGUGAAGGAUGACGGCCCUAUGGGUUGUACACUUCUUUUGUCAGGGAGCAAUUGCGUCCACGUGUGGGCUUCGCGAGAGUACCUGAAAAAAAAGCAUCGGCUAACUCCGUGCCAGCAGCCGCGGUAAUACGGAGGAUGCGAGCGUUAGCCGGAUUUAUUGGGUUUAAAGGGUGCGUAGGCGGAAUAUCAAGUCAGCGGUAAAAAUUCGGGGCUCAACCCCGUCGUGCAGUUGAAACUGAUGGUGUUGAGUGGGCGAGAAGUAUGCGGAAUGCGUGGUGUAGCGGUGAAAUGCAUAGAUAUAACGCAGAACUCCGAUUGCGAAGGCAGCAUACCGGCGCCAAACUGACGCUGAAGCACGAAAGCGUGGGUAUCGAACAGGAUUAGAUACCCGGGUAGUC